GGGGAUUUAGCUCAGCGGCAUAAGCGCCUGCCUUGCAAGCAGGCAGUCUUGAGUUUAAAAUCUCUG
This 66-nucleotide transfer RNA is filed under the name Cavia porcellus (domestic guinea pig). It matches the Rfam family "tRNA". Rfam says of the family: Transfer RNA (tRNA) molecules are approximately 80 nucleotides in length. The record is from Rfam by way of RNAcentral. Lineage: Eukaryota; Metazoa; Chordata; Mammalia; Rodentia; Caviidae.